GACGAACGCUGGCGGCGUGCUUAACACAUGCAAGUCGAACGGAAAGGCCCUGCUUGCAGGGUACUCGAGUGGCUAACGGGUGAGUAACACGUGGGUGAUCUGCCCUGCACUUCGGGAUAAGCCUGGGAAACUGGGUCUACUACCGGAUAGGAGCCAUUUUUAGUGUGAUGGUUGGAAAGUUUUUUCGGUGUAGGAUGAGCUCGCGGCCUAUCAGCUUGUUGGUGGGGUAAUGGCCUACCAAGGCGGCGACGGGUAGCCGGCCUGAGAGGGUGGACGGCCACAUUGGGACUGAGAUACGGCCCAGACUCCUACGGGAGGCAGCAGUGGGGAAUAUUGCACAAUGGGCGCAAGCCUGAUGCAGCGACGCCGCGUGGGGGAUGACGGCCUUCGGGUUGUAAACUCCUUUCGCUAGGGACGAAGCUUUUUGUGACGGUACCUAGAUAAGAAGCACCGGCUAACUACGUG
RNAcentral lists this ribosomal RNA (465 nucleotides) under uncultured bacterium. Its description in RNAcentral is "partial 16S ribosomal RNA". It matches the Rfam family "Bacterial small subunit ribosomal RNA", at positions 28 to 507 of the family's 1533-position model. The record is from RNAcentral.